Small nuclear RNA from Cercocebus atys (sooty mangabey), 104 nucleotides. Lineage: Eukaryota; Metazoa; Chordata; Mammalia; Primates; Cercopithecidae. The record is from Ensembl.
GUGCUGGCUUAAGAAGCACGUAUGCUAAAAUUGGAACCACACAGAGAUGACCAUGACCCCUGUGCAAGGAUGCCGUGCAAAUUCAUGAAGCAUUCCAUAUUUUU